Non-coding RNA from Camelina sativa (false flax), 1798 nucleotides. NCBI's taxonomy places the organism in Eukaryota, Viridiplantae, Streptophyta, Magnoliopsida, Brassicales, Brassicaceae. The record is from RefSeq and is a predicted model, not a curated record.
AUUAAAUUUUGUUAGUAAGUUUUCACGGUUUGGCAACCAAUACAACAUUUUCAGUAGACAACGACAUGAUUUAGUAAGAGAAAUAUGAGUGAAUGAAGGGGAACUAUAGAAGAGAGUUUUCAUCAAGGUCAUGAUCAUUGAUCAGAACAUAUGGAGAUAUAUAUGGAAGGCAAUGAAAGGCUGAUGGUAGAAGAAGCCAUGAGCGAGGGGAAGAGAACAAAGAAGCUCUCUAGAUUCUCUCAAUUAAAGGGAAAAUCGUAAAUGUCACCGAGGGAGAGAGAUUGACAACCAUUCAGAGACAUGAAUAUAACUAGCAGUCAAAGUUGUGGAGCAGGAACUAGUCAAAAAAGCUGGGAGAAGGAUUUCAACAACUUGAUACAUGAUAAGCUUGAAUGACAAAUAAAUCACGGAUGCUGCUCCAGAAAAUUGGUAAAGCUUCAGUAAGCCAGUACAAAACAGAGAAGACCUGCUGAUGAAAAAGACAAGCAAAUAUUUUAUCGCUAAUUUUCGCAGACUAUAGAGAAAAAACUGCUCUUCAGGAAAACGCCAAAGUUUUUGUUAGAGUUUACAGAGACCUCGAGACUCGAGCUGAGAUGAUGAUGUCCACAUAAAUUUGAAACUAAAGGAUCCCUUGAAGCCUAAACAACACAUAUCUGCCUACAUAAUUACGAGAGGAGUGCUGCCUUACGAGAAUUUGAGAUAAAGAUGAAUCGGAGAAGUGUGGAAGAACUUGUCUGCAAAACGAAAGGGUCUGUAAGAAAAGGAGAUAUAUAUGGAAGAAGCAUGAGCGAGAAGAAGAGGAUAAAGAAGCUUCUCAAAUUCUCAAGGAAGGGAAAACCAACAAUGCCACUAAGUCAUGUAGGUUUGCACAUGGACAUGAUUUCUAGUCAUGUAGGUUUGCACAUGGACAUUAACAUAUUAAUGUCAUUUUGGUUUUCAGGUCUAUUGCAACGGAGCUCUCCAAUGGUUGUGCUUUUUAUCUUCUCCCAAUAGCUGGAGAAGGAUAAAAGUACUAGUCUCUAAGCAUUUUGCAUCAAUUUUUUUUGUGUCAACGAAAUUCUUUUUACCAACAAACAAGGUAGUGUUUCUCUAAUUCUUUGUUCUAGAUUAUGUUAAUCGCUCUCUAUGGUAUAAUGUUUAUCACUUUUCUUUGUCAGGCUGGAAACAUUUUUAGGUUUUCUUGUCUCCACUAGAAGCAGUUUACAAGAGAUGAUUUUUUCAGGCUCAGUGAAAGAGCAAUGUUCGUAGUGUGAUAAUUUUACCACUAGAAAAUGUGAUAAAUCCAAAUGGCAAGUGCUGCAGGUUUGGCGAUUAUUAAGUGCAGGACAAGCAGUGGAGUAUAGAAUGUUGGUGAUGAGGCUAUAAAGGGAAACUUGAUUUUCUUGUUUUGUUUUCAACGGGACUUGAUGGUACAUCGCACGAAGACACACAUAGUAGUCUCGUCUCUUCUAUGGUUUCUCACGGGUCAAAAUUUAAGGGGAGCAAUACGUCUCAGGUUCCUUUGUUACUUACAUAUUCAUGAUUUUAAUAUGCAGAUUCAGUUUUCUGCCCAAGAAAUGAAAUAAACUCCAUAGUUCUUAUGCUCCAUAGGAUAUAGAAUAGAGAGGCAUGUAUGUAACGGUUCCUUUGGUUUGUCAUCUUUCACUUUUAACAUCAGUAGUGUUGGGUGUCAACAAAAUAUUCUAUCACUAGUAAAGCUGGAUGUCAUCAAAACCGUUGAAGAUUAGUUACUACUUGGCAGACACUAUUUCCAAGUUGAGAAGACAAGGAGAGACUCUAUAUGCGAUAGGAACAACUA